This 757-nucleotide ribosomal RNA is filed under the name uncultured Alcanivorax sp. RNAcentral describes it as "bacterial SSU rRNA". It matches the Rfam family "Bacterial small subunit ribosomal RNA", at positions 28 to 774 of the family's 1533-position model. Lineage: Bacteria; Pseudomonadati; Pseudomonadota; Gammaproteobacteria; Oceanospirillales; Alcanivoracaceae. The record is from RNAcentral.
AUUGAACGCUGGCGGCAGGCCUAACACAUGCAAGUCGAGCGGCAGCGGGGAGUAGCUUGCUACUUUGCCGGCGAGCGGCGGACGGGUGAGUAACGCGUGGGAAUCUACCCAUUUGUGGGGGAUAACUUGGGGAAACCCAAGCUAAUACCGCAUAAUCCCUACGGGGGAAAGCAGGGGACCUUUUGGCCUUGCGCAGAUGGAUGAGCCCGCGUCGGAUUAGCUAGUUGGUAGGGUAAAGGCCUACCAAGGCGACGAUCCGUAACUGGUCUGAGAGGAUGACCAGUCACAUCGGGACUGAGACACGGCCCGAACUCCUACGGGAGGCAGCAGUGGGGAAUCUUGGACAAUGGGGGCAACCCUGAUCCAGCCAUGCCGCGUGUGUGAAGAAGGCCCUAGGGUUGUAAAGCACUUUCAGUAGGGAGGAAGGCUUCGGGUUAAUACCCUGGAGUACUUGACGUUACCUACAGAAGAAGCACCGGCUAAUUUCGUGCCAGCAGCCGCGGUAAUACGAAAGGUGCGAGCGUUAAUCGGAAUUACUGGGCGUAAAGCGCGCGUAGGCGGUUAGUUAAGUCGGAUGUGAAAGCCCAGGGCUCAACCUUGGAACUGCAUCCGAUACUGGCUAGCUAGAGUGCAGUAGAGGGAGGUGGAAUUUCCGGUGUAGCGGUGAAAUGCGUAGAGAUCGGAAGGAACACCAGUGGCGAAGGCGGCCUCCUGGACUGACACUGACGCUGAGGUGCGAAAGCGUGGGGAGCAAACA